This is a long non-coding RNA of Pogonomyrmex barbatus (red harvester ant), 1021 nucleotides long. RefSeq lists it as uncharacterized. Lineage: Eukaryota; Metazoa; Arthropoda; Insecta; Hymenoptera; Formicidae. The record is from RefSeq and is a predicted model, not a curated record.
CGCGCGCGCGCAUAAUCGCAGGCUUCUUUCCGACGAGGACUGACAGUGGCGAUUGUGAGGUCGUCGCGUGUCUGGAGUCGCCUGCAUAUAUAUGAAAACGAGACAGUAUGAUACUUAUUUCGCGGCGAGGAGCAGCACGAGGUUAUUGUUAUCCCCCGCCCCCCUCCUUUGAGGGUGGCACGCCAUUCACUUGUCACUUCGGGUCUCUACUCGAGGAAGAAUAUAAGAGGGAAAGCCGGAGAACGCGCCAGAGGAAGGUGGAACUUUGACGGUAAAGCUGUGAGCUAUACCUCGUCAGGUAGCUGACAUCGCAUUUUACAACGUAUUAACAAUUAAUUUUCUUGCUGACAAGUAUUUAUAAUUAACCAAUUUAAUUAUAAAUCAAAUUACGCCAGCUAAAUAAAUUACAUGUAAACAUAAUAUAAAUGCGAUGCGAACUACUAAUUCGGGUUUUCCAUUCUCACGCGGAAAAAUUAAAUCACGCUUGAUGGGCGUCUCUCGCGGAGAACAACAAUUUGGAGCAAGACAGAAAAGGACGAUGGGAGAUGACGAGGAGCGGGAGGAAUGAUUGGAAGCCGGAUAGUAGAACGCCGUUAGUUAGAAGGAGGCAGAGUAAAGUCCCAGCGGGGACGAAAAGGGCCUAACGAUCCCAAGCUACGAGCUUCUCCUCGCCCCAUGCAAUCUCCAUAGAAUUACCAUACGAUUAAGAGAACGCCGGCCCACGGCGCGCGUAUAGGAGCCGCCGAGAGUAGCCCUCGAGAGUCUUCCAAUUAGCCUCUCGAAAGAUCACUCUUCCUCUCUCGUCCACACCAACAAGACGUGAAUGCACCGAGAUAAUCUAAAAUCGCCGAACCAACGCGCCGAUAAAUUGUACAGAAUAUAAGCGUAGAAUGUACGCGUGUAUUUAUUAUAGUUCAUAUGACAUGCAGAAAUUAUCCAAUCGUAAUUUAAAAGAGUACGUUGUCCAAUACACACCGAGUAAGCAUAAUGUAAAGCAUAAUUUAAUUAUAUUAAUUCGCAU